Molecule: transfer RNA, 69 nt
Filed under: Ictidomys tridecemlineatus (thirteen-lined ground squirrel)
Lineage: Eukaryota; Metazoa; Chordata; Mammalia; Rodentia; Sciuridae
Description: Spermophilus tridecemlineatus (thirteen-lined ground squirrel) tRNA
Rfam family: tRNA
About the family: Transfer RNA (tRNA) molecules are approximately 80 nucleotides in length. Their secondary structure includes four short double-helical elements and three loops (D, anti-codon, and T loops). Further hydrogen bonds mediate the characteristic L-shaped molecular structure. tRNAs have two regions of fundamental functional importance: the anti-codon, which is responsible for specific mRNA codon recognition, and the 3' end, to which the tRNAs corresponding amino acid is attached (by aminoacyl-tRNA synthetases). tRNAs cope with the degeneracy of the genetic code in two manners: having more than one tRNA (with a specific anti-codon) for a particular amino acid; and 'wobble' base-pairing, i.e. permitting non-standard base-pairing at the 3rd anti-codon position.
Source: Rfam by way of RNAcentral
GGGAUUGUGGCUUAGCGGUAGAGCACUCGCCUAGCAUGUGCAAGGCCCUGGGUUCAAUUCUCAGCACCA